This 587-nucleotide ribosomal RNA is filed under the name uncultured bacterium. Its description in RNAcentral is "bacterial SSU rRNA". It matches the Rfam family "Bacterial small subunit ribosomal RNA", at positions 338 to 916 of the family's 1533-position model. The record is from RNAcentral.
CCUACGGGAGGCAGCAGUAGGGAAUAUUGGACAAUGGGCGCAAGCCUGAUCCAGCAAUGCCGCGUGUGUGAAGAAGGCCUGCGGGUUGUAAAGCACUUUCAGUGGGGAAGACAAACUCGAGGUUAAUACCCUCGGGUCUCGACGUUACCCACAGAAGAAGCACCGGCCAACUCCGUGCCAGCAGCCGCGGUAAUACGGAGGGUGCGAGCGUUAAUCGGAAUUACUGGGCGUAAAGCGCACGUAGGAGGCGAGAUCAGUCAGAUGUGAAAUCCCCGGGCUCAACCUGGGAAUUGCAUUUGAUACUGUCUUGCUAGGGUCUGGCAGAGGUAAGCGGAAUUCCGGGUGUAGCGGUGGAAUGCGUAGAUAUCCGGAAGAACACCAGUGGCGAAGGCGGCUUACUGGGCCAAGACUGACUCUGAGGUGCGAAAGCGUGGGGAGCGAACAGGAUUAGAUACCCUGGUAGUCCACGCCGUAAACGAUGUCAACUAGCCGUUGGACCCGUUUGAGGGUCAAGUGGUGCAGCUAACGCGAUAAGUUGACCGCCUGGGGAGUACGGCCGCAAGGUUGAAACUCAAAUGAAUUGACGG